GUGGGGAAUAUUGGACAAUGGGCGCAAGCCUGAUCCAGCCAUGCCGCGUGUGUGAAGAAGGCCUUUUGGUUGUAAAGCACUUUAAGCGAGGAGGAGGCUCCUUUAGUUAAUACCUAAAGAGAGUGGACGUUACUCGCAGAAUAAGCACCGGCUAACUCUGUGCCAGCAGCCGCGGUAAUACAUAGGGUGCGAGCGUUAAUCGGAUUUACUGGGCGUAAAGCGUGCGUAGGCGGCUUUUUAAGUCGGAUGUGAAAUCCCUGAGCUUAACUUAGGAAUUGCAUUCGAUACUGGAAAGCUAGAGUAUGGGAGAGGAUGGUAGAAUUCCAGGUGUAGCGGUGAAAUGCGUAGAGAUCUGGAGGAAUACCGAUGGCGAAGGCAGCCAUCUGGCCUAAUACUGACGCUGAGGUACGAAAGCAUGGGGAGCAAACAGGAUUAGAAACCCCUGUAGUCC
Molecule: ribosomal RNA, 451 nt
Filed under: uncultured bacterium
Lineage: Bacteria
Description: partial 16S ribosomal RNA
Rfam family: Bacterial small subunit ribosomal RNA
Source: RNAcentral